CCUCUCGUGGUGUAGGGGUAGCGCGCCCUAUCUAUUGAGCAGGGAGUCGUGAGUUAGAUUCUCACCGAGAAGA
This 73-nucleotide transfer RNA is filed under the name Aedes aegypti (yellow fever mosquito). It matches the Rfam family "tRNA". From Rfam's summary of the family: Transfer RNA (tRNA) molecules are approximately 80 nucleotides in length. The record is from Rfam by way of RNAcentral. Lineage: Eukaryota; Metazoa; Arthropoda; Insecta; Diptera; Culicidae.